This 293-nucleotide ribosomal RNA is filed under the name uncultured bacterium. RNAcentral's name for it is "partial 16S ribosomal RNA". It matches the Rfam family "Archaeal small subunit ribosomal RNA", at positions 455 to 747 of the family's 1478-position model. The record is from RNAcentral.
GUGCCAGCCGCCGCGGUAAUACCGGCAGCACAAGUGAUGGCCAAUCUUAUUGGGCCUAAAGCGUCCGUAGCUGGCCGAGCAGGUCCGUCGGGAAAUCCACGUGCUCAACGCGUGGGCGUCCGGCGGAAACCACUCGGCUUGGGGCCGGAGGACUCGAGGGGUACGUCUGGGGUAGGAGUGAAAUCCCGUAAUCCUGGACGGACCGCCGAUGGCGAAAGCACGUCGCGAGAACGGAUCCGACAGUGAGGGACGAAAGCCAGGGUCUCCAACCGGAUUAGAAACCCUGGUAGUCC